ACAGACGGUGAAUGUUCGUCGUCUUCCACUUGCUCAUCUUGCAGCUGGUUGACUAAGGACACUGAGAACUUGAAGGAACAGUUCAUAAUGGCCAUUACUCUGACCCCAAAACCUGAAGCUUCUACAAGCAACUACCCAAAGAACAUUGGAAUCGUCAUCACAGGACUUGGAAAUAUUGCAGCGGCCUUGCUCUGUCCUCCUUGGCUUGACCUACGCGCUGAAUCUCGAUUAUCACCUUUGUACACCUUUGAGGUAUUCCAAAAACGUUUCUUGGAACUGGAUCAACAAAGUCCAAUCCCUCUAGAGCAAACUUCAGGCUUGAAAUGAGACUGUAUUGCAGUGCAGACUUUUGUGCUAUGUCUUACUUGAGAAUUGCACAUUGAUGUUUGUAAGUUAGUACUGAUUUUUCCCACGAAUGUCAUGACAUUUCAAUUGUUGUAAGUUCAAAGUACAAAUGUAUUUUACUCUGUACAAAUUGCACUUUAAAGGUCCCAUUCUUCUCGAUUCCAUUUUUUAAACUUUAGUUAGUGUGUAAUGUUGCUGUUAGAGCAUAAAUAAUACAUGUAAAAUGAUAAACUUCAUAGAACAAGUAAGUCAAUCGGGCCAUUUUUUGGACAGUGAAAACAGCAGUAUACAGAUAAGUAAAUUGUGUGAAAAAUACAGUGUUUUUUACACGCGAAACAUGAACACAAUCAAAGCUUAAAAAAAACAUGGAGAACGGGACCUUUAAGGAUUUAUGGAGUAUUUAUGGAGUAUUUUUAUUUUAAGAUCUUUAUUGACCCAAUUUAGUGGCUA
Non-coding RNA from Pimephales promelas (fathead minnow), 795 nucleotides. The record is from RefSeq and is a predicted model, not a curated record. Lineage: Eukaryota; Metazoa; Chordata; Actinopteri; Cypriniformes; Leuciscidae.